GCCCCUGUAGCUCAGUGGAUUAGAGCGCGACGUUGCGGACGUUGAGGCCGGAGGUUCGACUCCUCUCAGGGGUG
This 74-nucleotide transfer RNA is filed under the name Candidatus Daviesbacteria bacterium. RNAcentral describes it as "tRNA-Arg". It matches the Rfam family "tRNA". From Rfam's summary of the family: Transfer RNA (tRNA) molecules are approximately 80 nucleotides in length. Their secondary structure includes four short double-helical elements and three loops (D, anti-codon, and T loops). Further hydrogen bonds mediate the characteristic L-shaped molecular structure. tRNAs have two regions of fundamental functional importance: the anti-codon, which is responsible for specific mRNA codon recognition, and the 3' end, to which the tRNAs corresponding amino acid is attached (by aminoacyl-tRNA synthetases). tRNAs cope with the degeneracy of the genetic code in two manners: having more than one tRNA (with a specific anti-codon) for a particular amino acid; and 'wobble' base-pairing, i.e. permitting non-standard base-pairing at the 3rd anti-codon position. Lineage: Bacteria; Candidatus Daviesiibacteriota. The record is from RNAcentral.